RNAcentral lists this long non-coding RNA (564 nucleotides) under Mytilus galloprovincialis (Mediterranean mussel). The record is from RNAcentral. Lineage: Eukaryota; Metazoa; Mollusca; Bivalvia; Mytilida; Mytilidae.
CAAGACUAUUGUUUCAAUCCAGAUACGGCCAGAACUGAGUUUUGCUUAAGGCAAGAAUCAGAGUCAAAUUUUUUUUCUCUCAAAUAUCUCUGACUGACACCUCAAAUUAAAUGGUUUGUACCUGAGACUUAAUUGAAAUCUCUCUAGAGCUUAUAAAUACUGACUGGGGAUCAUUAUUCAAUUUGUUAUUUAUAAAAUAGGUUGGGGCAUUUGGGGUUAAACAUGUUUUCGUAGGUAAAUAAUAUGGUGGAACAUUUUCUCAUGAGAGUGUAGUAGUCUAUAGAGUAUUUACUAUUACUUUCUGUUUGGUGGAAUAGUGAAAUAGAGGUAAAUACGUUCUUGCUCAAUCCUGUGUCGCUAUGAAGGUUUCAUGAUUGUCAUGACAUCCUCAGCCUAAGCAAUGUGUUACUGUAAUUUGAAUUUCAAAAUGACCGAGUGACAUUUUUUCAAUGCACUGGUCACCUCCACCAUAGCAAAUCACAUGACUUUGACAAUCAGUUAAUAUCAGCUAAAAUAUCUUUAUAAGUAAAGAAUUGUCGUAUUUAUAAAAAUUAAAUACACGGG